CCUGGUGGCUCAGAGGUUAAAGCGUCUGCCUCCAAUGCGGGAGACCUGGGUUCAAUCCCUGGGUCAGGA
Bos taurus (domestic cattle) is the source of this 69-nucleotide non-coding RNA. The record is from Rfam. Lineage: Eukaryota; Metazoa; Chordata; Mammalia; Artiodactyla; Bovidae.